This 461-nucleotide ribosomal RNA is filed under the name uncultured bacterium. RNAcentral describes it as "partial 16S ribosomal RNA". It matches the Rfam family "Bacterial small subunit ribosomal RNA", at positions 338 to 795 of the family's 1533-position model. The record is from RNAcentral.
CCUACGGGAGGCAGCAGUGAGGAAUAUUGGUCAAUGGGCGCGAGCCUGAACCAGCCAAGUAGCGUGAAGGAUGACUGCCCUACGGGUUGCAAACUUCUUUUAUAAAGGAAUAAAGUGAGGCACGCGUGCCUUUUUGAGUGUACUUUAUGAAUAAGGAUCGGCUAACUCCGUGCCAGCAGCCGCGGUAAUACGGAGGAUACGAGCGUUAUCCGGAUUUAUUGGGUUUAAAGGGAGCGUAGAUGGGUUGUUAAGUCAGUUGUGAAAGUGUGCGGCUCAACCGUAAAAUUGCAAUUGAUACUGGCAGUCUUGAGUAGAGUUGAGGUAGGCGGAAUUCGUGGUGUAGCGGUGGAAUGGUUAGAUAUCACGGAGAACUCCGAUUGCGAAGGGAGCUUACUAGACUGCCACUGACAGUGAUGGUCGAAAGUGUGGGUAUCAAACAGGAUUAGAUACCCCGUGUAGUC